CAUCACUCUGAAUGCAAACAUCUCAGGAUAUCUGGUCUGCUCUGUCAGGAAUCACGUCAGUGGUGUCUGUGGCUUCAUAUUCAAUCACUGCACGUCAUCCAAUGGAACACAAAUAUCAAAGAUGGAGCUUGUAUCCAGUGACACUGUGUGUAUUACACCAACAACAACUCCCACCACGUCCACAGUGGGUAAGGAGACUGGCAUAGUGUCAAUUAAACCCUCCACUAAUAUCACAUCCUCCAAUCAAACUGUGACUCCUGGCAGAGAUGAGCCAUGGUACAAUCAGUCACUGCUCGU
Long non-coding RNA from Stegastes partitus (bicolor damselfish), 297 nucleotides. RefSeq lists it as uncharacterized. The record is from RefSeq and is a predicted model, not a curated record. Lineage: Eukaryota; Metazoa; Chordata; Actinopteri; Pomacentridae. The transcript has 3 exons.